RNAcentral lists this ribosomal RNA (496 nucleotides) under uncultured bacterium. Its description in RNAcentral is "partial 16S ribosomal RNA". It matches the Rfam family "Bacterial small subunit ribosomal RNA", at positions 29 to 507 of the family's 1533-position model. The record is from RNAcentral.
AUGAACGCUGGCGGCGUGCCUAAUACCUGCAAGUCGAGCGAACGGACGAGAAGCUUGCUUCUCUGAUGUUAGCGGCGGACGGGUGAGUAACACGUGGAUAACCUACCUAUAAGACUGGGAUAACUUCGGGAAACCGGAGCUAAUACCGGAUAAUAUUUUGAACCGCAUGGUUCAAAAGUGAAAGACGGUCUUGCUGUCACUUAUAGAUGGAUCCGCGCUGCAUUAGCUAGUUGGUAAGGUAACGGCUUACCAAGGCAACGAUGCAUAGCCGACCUGAGAGGGUGAUCGGCCACACUGGAACUGAGACACGGUCCAGACUCCUACGGGAGGCAGCAGUAGGGAAUCUUCCGCAAUGGGCGAAAGCCUGACGGAGCAACGCCGCGUGAGUGAUGAAGGUCUUCGGAUCGUAAAACUCUGUUAUUAGGGAAGAACAUAUGUGUAAGUAACUGUGCACAUCUUGACGGUACCUAAUCAGAAAGCCACGGCUAGCUACGUG